This 294-nucleotide unclassified non-coding RNA is filed under the name uncultured bacterium. RNAcentral's name for it is "16S-23S intergenic spacer". The record is from RNAcentral.
UCUAAGGAGAUUUAGAAAGCAAAGAAAUUGGUCAAACGUUUCCUGUUCAGUUUUGAGAGACUUUUUCUCUCGAUUUUGGUAGUGAUGUUCUUUGAAAACUAAAUAACAGAAAAGAAGAUAGAGAUAGACAUUAGAGAAAUAGUAAUAUGUUAUCAACAUGAUCUUUUCGAAUAGUUGAAGUAAAAACUAGAUUUUAUAAAGUUAAACAAAACAGUUAAAACUUAAGCAAAACCAAGAAAUAAAAACCAAAGCAUUAGACUUUGGUCGCGAAAUUACAUGUGAUUAAAUAUGUAA